Molecule: ribosomal RNA, 225 nt
Filed under: uncultured bacterium
Lineage: Bacteria
Description: partial 16S ribosomal RNA
Rfam family: Bacterial small subunit ribosomal RNA
Source: RNAcentral
UAACGCGUGAGCAAUCUGCCUUUAAGAGGGGGAUAACAGUCGGAAACGGCUGCUAAUACCGCAUAAAGCAUUAAAUUCGCAUGUUUUUGAUGCCGAAGGAGCAAUCCGCUUUUAGAUGAGCUCGCGUCUGAUUAGCUAGUUGGCGGGGUAACGGCCCACCAAGGCGACGAUCAGUAGCCGGACUGAGAGGUUGAACGGCCACAUUGGGACUGAGACACGGCCCAG